RNAcentral lists this non-coding RNA (89 nucleotides) under unclassified sequences. RNAcentral's name for it is "c-di-GMP sequence". It matches the Rfam family "c-di-GMP-II-GAG riboswitch aptamer". The record is from Rfam by way of RNAcentral.
CUGCACGCGGGAGGCUGUGAUCCGCCGGACGUACCGACUGCGGCCACCGCAGUCCGGCGGGGAGCCACUGGUGAGACCGGCCCCCGAAG